Eurytemora carolleeae is the source of this 234-nucleotide long non-coding RNA. RefSeq lists it as uncharacterized. The record is from RefSeq and is a predicted model, not a curated record. The transcript is spliced from 3 exons. NCBI's taxonomy places the organism in Eukaryota, Metazoa, Arthropoda, Copepoda, Calanoida, Temoridae.
UAACAAUAUAUUAGAUGGAAGUAUGUCUAAGAUCAGUGAUGAUUCUGCUGAUACUAUUGAACUCUAUGAGUCUCCUGAAUCUUCCCAAGCUGCCCAAGACAUCACAAAGAAAGAAGUUAUUCUUGAAGAUGAUGAUAUACUGAGCAGUUCUGAAUCCGGCAUUGAAUCCCUCAAUGCAAGGCAACCAGAUGAACUGAAAACAAUCCGUCCAUCCAGGAUAUUCACAGAAGAGAA